CAUGCAAGUCGAACGAGAGAGAGGGAGCUUGCUUCCUCAAUCGAGUGGCGAACGGGUGAGUAACGCGUGAGGAACCUGCCUCAAAGAGGGGGACAACAGUUGGAAACGACUGCUAAUACCGCAUAAGCCCACAGGUCGGCAUCGACCAGAGGGAAAAGGAGCAAUCCGCUUUGAGAUGGCCUCGCGUCCGAUUAGCUAGUUGGUGAGGUAAUGGCCCACCAAGGCAACGAUCGGUAGCCGGACUGAGAGGUUGAACGGCCACAUUGGGACUGAGACACGGCCCAGACUCCUACGGGAGGCAGCAGUGGGGAAUAUUGCACAAUGGGGGAAACCCUGAUGCAGCGACGCCGCGUGGAGGAAGAAGGUCUUCGGAUUGUAAACUCCUGUUGUUGAGGAAGAUAAUGACGGUACUCAACAAGGAAGUGACGGCUAACUACGUGCCAGCAGCCGCGGUAAAACGUAGGUCACAAGCGUUGUCCGGAAUUACUGGGUGUAAAGGGAGCGCAGGCGGGAAGACAAGUUGGAAGUGAAAUCUAUGGGCUCAACCCAUAAACUGCUUUCAAAACUGUUUUUCUUGAGUAGUGCAGAGGUAGGCGGAAUUCCCGGUGUAGCGGUGGAAUGCGUAGAUAUCGGGAGGAACACCAGUGGCGAAGGCGGCCUACUGGGCACCAACUGACGCUGAGGCUCGAAAGUGUGGGUAGCAAACAGGAUUAGAUACCCUGGUAGUCCACACCGUAAACGAUGAUUACUAGGUGUUGGAGGAUUGACCCCUUCAGUGCCGCAGUUAACACAAUAAGUAAUCCACCUGGGGAGUACGACCGCAAGGUUGAAACUCAAAGGAA
This 842-nucleotide ribosomal RNA is filed under the name uncultured bacterium. Its description in RNAcentral is "bacterial SSU rRNA". It matches the Rfam family "Bacterial small subunit ribosomal RNA", at positions 54 to 909 of the family's 1533-position model. The record is from RNAcentral.